GCUUACGGCCAGACCAGUGUGAAUGCGCCUGAUUUCAUCUGAUCUCGGAAGCUAAAACACACUUGGUCUCGGCCAGUACUUGGAUGGGAGACCACAUAGGAUCCCCCGAGUGCUGUAACCU
RNAcentral lists this ribosomal RNA (121 nucleotides) under Erpetoichthys calabaricus (reedfish). The record is from RNAcentral. Lineage: Eukaryota; Metazoa; Chordata; Cladistia; Polypteriformes; Polypteridae.